GAUGAACGCUGGCGGUAUGCUUAACACAUGCAAGUCGAACGGGGUGCAUAGUCUCCUAGUGGCGGACGGGUGAGUAACGCGUGAGAAUCUGGCCUCAGGUCCGGGACAACCACGGGAAACGGUGGCUAAUACCGGAUGUGCCAUAUUGGUGAAAGAUUAAUUGCCUGAGGAUGAGCUCGCGUCUGAUUAGCUAGUUGGUGGGGUAAAGGCUUACCAAGGCGACGAUCAGUAACUGGUCUGAGAGGAUGACCAGUCACACUGGGACUGAGACACGGCCCAGAGUGCUAGGGGAGGACGCAGGGGGGAAGAUUGGACAAUGGGCGGAAGACUGAUCCAGCGAUGGCGCGUGUGUGAAGAAGGUCUUCGGAGUGUAAAGCACUUUAAGUUGGGAGGAAGGGCAGUAAUUUAAUACCUUGCUGUUUUGACGUUACCAAAAGAAUACGCACCGGCUAACUUCGUG
This 460-nucleotide ribosomal RNA is filed under the name uncultured bacterium. Its description in RNAcentral is "partial 16S ribosomal RNA". It matches the Rfam family "Bacterial small subunit ribosomal RNA", at positions 28 to 507 of the family's 1533-position model. The record is from RNAcentral.